CCGUCAUUCCGGCGAGACUGGCGCAUGCACUACCACCAUCUUGACAGCCGCUUCUCCCCCUUCAUAACCAUGUACCUCGAUCGCCCCUUCACCUUCGUAUUUCGUGAAAUCGAAUCAAAGACAGUGAGAUGCAUUGGGUGAUUUUCCAGCGAAGCUCUCAGCCCUAAUUUUGGUAAGCCAUGCCAUUAUUUUGUAAACCCAAUCCAUUUAUAUCAUUGGUUUCGUCGAUUUGAAGCUAAUCCCCUUUCUCCUUUACUGGUUCUUCACUGCCGUCGUGCUCCACCAUCGAGCUUCCUCCUUCUCGGCGAAACCAAGACUCUAUGAUGACAACUUAGUUCUAAUUCGAUAAGACCAGUUCUUCCUUUCCACUCCUAGUUUGUAUUUUCUUUCAAUUCUUGGCUUUUCUUUCGAGCCUAAUCCCAAUUUUUCUUACCUCUCUCUUGCAUCUGCCGAGGUCUAUUACCUCUUUCUCUUCUUUUCUGGGUUACUUUGUUUACUUGGGACGAUCCCUGGAGCCGUAGCUAUAAAGAGUGGAGGAGCAGCAGCUCGGUUUGGGAUCGGAAAAGGAGCAGCAGCCUCGGCUUAUGUUUUUCAAUUCGUGAGAAUUGAUGUUAGGAGGAUCUUUUGGAGACUUGGAGCGGCAUCAAGAGCUAUAUAUUGGAUUUGGAUAUCGGCUGGGAUUCUGCACGUCAUUCCAGUUGUCUUGCAGGUCCAAUUGUUAUUCCGGAGCUAGGAGUCUCAUUUCAGAGUUAACAAGCGUAUUCUCUUUCAUGCAUUUCAUUCCUAUGUUUAUUAACAAUGUUUUCGAGUGAAGUUUUCCGAGGUUGAUUUCUUGUUUGUAGCUACCUUCAUUUUGUACAAAAAUUGGGUUGUCUACUUGUUUAAUUUG
Molecule: long non-coding RNA, 889 nt
Organism: Argentina anserina (silverweed cinquefoil)
Lineage: Eukaryota; Viridiplantae; Streptophyta; Magnoliopsida; Rosales; Rosaceae
Exons: 3
Source: RefSeq, a predicted model, not a curated record